Molecule: long non-coding RNA, 303 nt
Organism: Tupaia belangeri chinensis (Chinese tree shrew)
Lineage: Eukaryota; Metazoa; Chordata; Mammalia; Scandentia; Tupaiidae
Exons: 3
Source: RefSeq, a predicted model, not a curated record
AAUUCAGGUCACAGGGUGAUGAUGGAGCUGAGGUCCAAUAAUACUUUUCCCAGAGAUCUCUCGAAAAUGCUGAUAAUGAGGACUUUGUGUGGAUGCUCUCAUCGAACUGUCUGAUGAGAAUGCCGACUGGAAACUCAGCUUCCAGGAGUUCCUCAAGUGCCUCAACCCAUCUUUCAACCCUCCCGAGAAGAAGUGUGCCCUGGAGGAUGAAACGUAUGCAGAUGGAGCUGAGACCGAGGUAGACUGUAACCGUUGCGUCUGUGCCUGUGGAAACUGGGUCUGCACAGCCAUGACCUGCGACGG